RNAcentral lists this ribosomal RNA (497 nucleotides) under uncultured bacterium. RNAcentral's name for it is "partial 16S ribosomal RNA". It matches the Rfam family "Bacterial small subunit ribosomal RNA", at positions 28 to 507 of the family's 1533-position model. The record is from RNAcentral.
GAUGAACGCUGGCGGCGUGCCUAAUACAUGCAAGUCGAGCGAACAGACGAGGAGCUUGCUCCUCUGACGUUAGCGGCGGACGGGUGAGUAACACGUGGAUAACCUACCUAUAAGACUGGGAUAACUUCGGGAAACCGGAGCUAAUACCGGAUAAUAUAUUGAACCGCAUGGUUCAAUAGUGAAAGACGGUUUUGCUGUCACUUAUAGAUGGAUCCGCGCCGCAUUAGCUAGUUGGUAAGGUAACGGCUUACCAAGGCAACGAUGCGUAGCCGACCUGAGAGGGUGAUCGGCCACACUGGAACUGAGACACGGUCCAGACUCCUACGGGAGGCAGCAGUAGGGAAUCUUCCGCAAUGGCCGAAAGCUUGACGGAGCAACGCCGCGUGAGUGAUGAAGGUCUUCGGAUCGUAAAACUCUGUUAUUAGGGAAGAACAAAUGUGUAAGUAACUAUGCACGUCUUGACGGUACCUAAUCAGAAAGCCACGGCUAACUACGUG